GUGCCAGCAGCCGCGGUAACACGUAGGGGGCGAGCGUUAUUCGGAUUUACUGGGCGUAAAGCGCGUGCAGGCGGUACGGUAAGUUGGAUGUGAAAGCUCCCGGCUCAACUGGGAGAGGUCGUUCAAUACUGCCGAACUUGAGGGCAUCAGAGGAAGGUGGAAUUCCCGGUGUAGUGGUGAAAUGCGUAGAUAUCGGGAGGAACACCAGUGGCGAAGGCGACCUUCUGGGAUGUUCCUGACGCUCAGACGC
This 250-nucleotide ribosomal RNA is filed under the name uncultured bacterium. RNAcentral's name for it is "partial 16S ribosomal RNA". It matches the Rfam family "Bacterial small subunit ribosomal RNA", at positions 505 to 754 of the family's 1533-position model. The record is from RNAcentral.